GGGGGCGACAGGUUUCGACGGCAGGAUGGAGGGUCCUGUGAAGCGUGCCGAGUUCUCCGCAACUCGUUAAACAGCGGUACCCCAACAAUAAGUGCCAACGAAAACUACGCACUGGCUGCUUAAGGAUUAAGUAGCCCGUCCCUUGGAAUCUACUCCGCCGGGGUUCCUUGAGGACGUCACAAACGGCGGAUGCUCCGGUUCCUUUGCUUCCGGGGUGACCGGAAAAGACUCAGGAAGCUCGGGAUGAGGGAUCCUGUCCCCGGGAGCCCGCAUCCGACAUCAAAACGGGGAAUGCGCACGGAGAAACACAGGGCUGGCCCCUGUCGGACCGGGGUUCGAUUCCCCGCGCCUCCACCA
Synergistales bacterium 53_16 is the source of this 357-nucleotide non-coding RNA. NCBI's taxonomy places the organism in Bacteria, Thermotogati, Synergistota, Synergistia, Synergistales. The record is from Rfam.